CCUGGCCCAAAAAUAAAUCAUCAUCGCCUCCUUCCCCGAAAAAAAAUCUAGCUUAACGAUGGAGACAUACAGUCAUACAGAUAGAGGAAAAUCUUAACGAAGAAGUUACCAACCUCGGCGCCGACGUCUGAAGUAUUGCUGGAUUGGUUGAAACGGUAAAGAUGAAGAAAUCGAUUAAGGAGUGGAGGUGGUGGAGGUAGAUGAAGAAGUCGAUUAUAGAAUUAAGAUUUAGGGAUUUUGGCAAUUUAAGGGAGAAUGAGGGAAAAUAAUUAGGAUUUGAGAACUUAAGGGGUUCUCUAUAAUUUGCAACAACUAUGACUGCCUCAUACGUUAACACUAAUCACGGACGGUGACUGAAAGUUCAAAAUACCAUAUAAAUGUUGAUGUAAAUGACUUGUUAAUUGUUGUAUGAGAUAGAGAUGGUACCUAAAAUAACCCAUCAACGGAUGUAGUAGGGCCGAUCCCUGAAUUGGGUAUGACGAGAUACCAGAGAAGAGAUCGAGGAGUUUGGUCGGGAUUCGUCCAUUAGGGGUGGACGGAUGGUGGUGUCUACUCUACGUUUGUCCCACGUCUGAUUAGUCGACUUAGUUGAUUGCUAACGAAUCCGAACCUUGUCUUUUUUCAGGGAAGAGGGGAAGGAAGAUGUCUUCAAUGGACUAUGAUUGUGUAAGAGUGUUGGAUCUUCGGGUGGACACGAGCACAUGACGGACGAAAACAUGUCUCAAUCUCUUUGAAAGGUUUAUGAAACCGAGAUGAGAGGGAAGAGGUGUGAAAAUCCGAGGUUAGACGACAAGUUUUAAGAAGUAUGUGAGUUGAUUUUAUUUGUAUUAUAAAUUGUAUCAGGUCGUUUUUUUCUAUUUAAAUAUAUAUUUAUUUAUGUACCAUAUAAAAUUUUAAAAAAGAACACAAACAAAAAUCAACAAACACCAUGAGUGUUUCCAACUCUUUAUUCUUGGAUCUACGUUUAAAUUUUCAGAUUGAAAAAAUUUAAAAAAUCUAAACAUUAUUUCAUUAAGAUAUUAUCAAUUUUGUCGUUAUUUUUAAAUUUAAUGAUUUUUUAUAUAUGAAAACAUUUGAAUUUUGGUAUAUAUAGAAACCACCAAAGAAGUAAACGCCAUAUGAUUUAUUUAGAGACAUGGUUACUACUUCUUCAUCUUCAUCGUCAUCUUUGAUGUCUGAAGCCAAAAGAUGGGAACAGCUUAGCGGCAAGAACCACUGGAAGGGUCUCCUAGACCCUCUCGACAUCGACCUCCGACGUAGUAUUCUCCAUUACGGCGACAUGGCCGAGGCGACGUAUGAUGCGUUCAACUCCGAGAAGGCUUCGAGAAACAACGGGUGUUGUUUUUACACCAGAGACGAUUUCUUUCAAAAACAAGGUAUGUCAACGUCGAAGAAUCCUUUUCCUUACACGGUGACCACGUACUUCUACGCGACGUCGGGUUUGCCGGAAUUCUUCUACGUCAAGUCCAAUUGGAUGGGGUACGUGGCAGUGGCGACGGAUGAGGGGAAGAAGGUUCUCGGUAGGCGAGACAUUGUCGUCGCUUGGAGGGGAACGGUGCAGCGGUCGGAGUGGUUUAACGACGUUGACGUCAGAAAGACAAGUGCUGGUGAAAUAUUCACCGGAGACGAUGCGCCUUAUGUCUGCCGUGGUUGGCUCGAUAUCUACACCACCGUGGAUCCAGAUUCGAAGCAUAACAAGAACAGUGCGAGAGAACAGAUUUUGAGUGAAAUAAAAAGAUUAGUAGAAAAGUACAAAAAUGAACAAGUAAGCAUCACCUUCACCGGUCACAGCUUAGGCGCCGCAGUGGCUACUUUGAAUGCCAUCGACGUCGUUCAAAACGGACACAACAAGAAUUUCCCGGUGACUGCAAUUCUCUUCGCCUGUCCCCGAGUAGGUGACUCCAAAUUCCUUCAGUUAUUCAACAACCUCGAGAAACUACGUGUUCUUCGCAUCGAAAACAAGGGCGAUGUCGUCCCAGAUCUCCCGACCAAUUACUCAGAAGUCGGAGAACGCAUCGGAAUCAACAGCGAGAACUCACCUUACCUGAAGCCUGGAACAAUAGUGGGUCAACAUAAUCUGGAAGUGUAUCUCCAUGGCGUGACCGGAUUUCAGGGAACUAAAAGAGAGUUCAAAUUGGAGCUGAAUAGAGAUAUCGCACUGGUGAACAAGAGCUUGGAUUACCUGAAAGCAGAGUAUCAUGUGCCGGAAUCGUGGUGGGUGAUGAAGAACAAAGGUAUGGUGAAAGGUGACGAUGGACAUUGGAAACUAAUAGAUCAUGACUUAUGAACACUGUUUAAUUACAAGAUUGCCAUGCCAUAAAAAUAAAUUAUACAUAUAAAUUUGUAUUUUUUACUUUAAACUAAACAUCCAAAAUACUUUCUACAGACUAUCAAACAGUAAAAAAGGGUUUAAAAUACAGUGAAAAACAAAAGAUUGAUAAGAUAAACUCAGUUCCACACAUUCACCGGCUACAUCUCCUUCUUCACUUUCACUUCCCCAUUGGGUACUAUAUUUUGCAACUGGGCAGUACGUUUAGAUUCCUGUAGACAAAAUUAUGGAAAUUUAAUACCAAUUCUUUUUUUUUUUUUGUAUGGAAAAGUGAUUGUAAUUUACAGACUACAAAGUUAUGACUACAAACUCAACAAUGGUUGUAAAUAAAAUGUGCUUCUAAAUAUUUCUAAAAAAAAUGACUUGGCAGUUGGCAAAAGCAGCCAUUAGUAGAAACAGUAAACAUCUUUUAUGAAAAAGGGCAUCAAAACAUAUCUCAUCUUUCAUCUUUGGUAAAACUUAAGUUUCAUGAAUAUUGAUCAGUUAAGUUUCAUGAAUAUUGAUCAGUUAAGUUUCUUGAAUAUUGAUCAGUUAAGUUUCAUGAAUAUUGACCAAUUAAGUUUCUUGAAUAUUGAUCAGUUAAGUUUCAUGAAUAUUGACCAAUUAAGUUUCAUGAAUAUUGAUUAGUUAAGAUUCAUACAUAUUGACCAGUUAAGAUUCAUGUAAAUUCAAUUAAGAUUCGGGCAUUUUGAUCUAAAAUUCACGCACAAUGCCAACUGAUUGUCAUUAUUUGCAGUCUGGAACCUAACACUUAAAAAAAAUACUUACAGCUGCAGUUUUCGCACGUAUUUCCCUAUAGACCUCAACAUCAUCAGGGAAUGCCUCUUCUAGGUUCGCUAAGAGAUGGUUCCGUAAACUCUGUAGUGAUCAAAUAAAAAUAAAAAAAUAUUGCAAAUUAUCCAAAGCAAAAACAGCAAACAAUAAAUAGAAAUAACAAACUUUGAAAGCUUCAGUUUUGCCCUUAAGCGUCUGAUUUUUUGAAAUACAGCUAUUAAAGACAUCUUUAGUGAACUCAUCCGGAUUUUUCCCAUCAUCGAUUAAGCUGAAUGCAAUGAUAACAAAUGAAUCAAAGAAAACAGUUAAAAUAAAUAAAGAAAGAAAAAGUAGAAUAUUCUUCUCUUAUACAGUUCUACUCACUUGACAACUUCCAUGGGAACCUGAAUGUUGCAGCUGUCGCCCAAUUUCUGCAUCGUGUCCAAUUCUGUGACCAACGCAUUUAGGCGCUGGAGGAGUGGGAGUUGGGAUGCGACAUUGAAGGAAGAUACAGUAAGGUGAAGCUGGUGGAGGAGGCUUAGGGUUUUAUGAAUUGAAUUGUUCACUAGCAUCAGAGACUGCUUAUUAGGAUUGCCUUCCAGCUGAUUAUCAUUAUUGUUGUUCGUACCAUUCGUGGUUCCAUGUCCAGUGAUGGGAGAAAUAUUGUUCGCCUCCAUCUGUGCCA
Molecule: long non-coding RNA, 3767 nt
Filed under: Zostera marina
Lineage: Eukaryota; Viridiplantae; Streptophyta; Magnoliopsida; Alismatales; Zosteraceae
Description: long non-coding RNA (ZMAR_LNC005184)
Source: RNAcentral